Molecule: ribosomal RNA, 791 nt
Filed under: uncultured bacterium
Lineage: Bacteria
Description: partial 16S ribosomal RNA
Rfam family: Bacterial small subunit ribosomal RNA
Source: RNAcentral
CGAAUGGGCCUCUANAAUGCAUGCAUCGAGUUCNNUCGCCANNNCNGAANNGAUAUNUGNAGAUUUCCNGCUUAGAGUUNGAUCCUGGCUCAGAUUGAACGCUGGCGGNNUGCCUUACACAUGCAAGUCGAACGGCAGCACGGGGGCAACCCUGGUGGCGAGUGGCGAACGGGUGAGUAACAUAUCGGAACGUGCCCUGGAGUGGGGGAUAACUAGUCGAAAGACUAGCUAAUACCGCAUACGAUCUACGGAUGAAAGUGGGGGAUCGCAAGACCUCAUGCUCGUGGAGCGGCCGAUAUCUGAUUAGCUAGUUGGUGGGGUAAAGGCCUACCAAGGCAUCGAUCAGUAGCUGGUCUGAGAGGACGACCAGCCACACUGGGACUGAGACACGGCCCAGACUCCUACGGGAGGCAGCAGUGGGGAAUUUUGGACAAUGGGCGCAAGCCUGAUCCAGCAAUGCCGCGUGAGUGAAGAAGGCCUUCGGGUUGUAAAGCUCUUUUGUCAGGGAAGAAACGGUUCGGGCUAAUACCCUGGGCUAAUGACGGUACCUGAAGAAUAAGCACCGGCUAACUACGUGCCAGCAGCCGCGGUAAUACGUAGGGUGCAAGCGUUAAUCGGAAUUACUGGGCGUAAAGCGUGCGCAGGCGGUUGUGCAAAACCGAUGUGAAAUCCCCNGGGCUCAACNUGGGNAAUGGCAUUGGUGACUGUACNGCUAGAGUGGGUCAAANGGGGGUANAAUUCCNCGUGUANCAAUGAAAUGCNUAAAAAUUUUGNAGNAAAACCNAUGGGNA